Molecule: ribosomal RNA, 586 nt
Filed under: uncultured bacterium
Lineage: Bacteria
Description: bacterial SSU rRNA
Rfam family: Bacterial small subunit ribosomal RNA
Source: RNAcentral
CCUACGGGAGGCAGCAGUGGGGAAUUUUGGACAAUGGGCGCAAGCCUGAUCCAGCAAUGCCGCGUGAGUGAAGAAGGCCUUCGGGUUGUAAAGCUCUUUUGUCAGGGAAGAAACGGUGGGGGCUAAUAUCUCCUACUAAUGACGGUACCUGAAGAAUAAGCACCGGCUAACUACGUGCCAGCAGCCGCGGUAAUACGUAGGGUGCAAGCGUUAAUCGGAAUUACUGGGCGUAAAGCGUGCGCAGGCGGUUUUGUAAGUCUGUCGUGAAAGCCCCGGGCUCAACCUGGGAAUUGCGAUGGAGACUGCAAGGCUUGAAUCUGGCAGAGGGGGGUAGAAUUCCACGUGUAGCAGUGAAAUGCGUAGAGAUGUGGAGGAACACCGAUGGCGAAGGCAGCCCCCUGGGUCAAGAUUGACGCUCAUGCACGAAAGCGUGGGGAGCAAACAGGAUUAGAUACCCUGGUAGUCCACGCCCUAAACGAUGUCUACUAGUUGUCGGGUUUUAAUUAACUUGGUAACGCAGCUAACGCGUGAAGUAGACCGCCUGGGGAGUACGGUCGCAAGAUUAAAACGUCAAAGGAAUUGACGG